AAUGAACGUUGGCGGCGUGGAUUAGGCGUGCAAGUCGUACGGGUCGGUGUAGCAAUACAACGGCAAGUGGCGAAAGGGAGAGUAACACGUAGAUACCUACCCUCUGGUCGGGGAUACCGCGGCAUAACCGCAAGUAAUACCCGAUAAAAUCUCCGGAUCAAAGGUGUGAUUCCGCCGGAGGAGGGGUCUGCGUUCUAUCAGCUUGUUGGGGAGGUAAUGGCUCACCAAGGCUAAGACGGAUACGGGGUGUGAGAGCAUGCCCCCGCUCACUGGGACUGAGACACUGCCCAGACACCUACGGGUGGCUGCAGUCGAGAAUCUUCGGCAAUGGGCGCAAGCCUGACCGAGCGACGCCGCGUGCGGGAUGAAGGCCUUCGGGUUGUAAACCGCUGUCGAGGGGAAUGAAGUGUAGGUGGGUACUCCCAUCUAUUUGACAGAUCCCUGGAGGAAGCAUGGGCUAAGUUCGUGCCAGCCGCCGCGGUAA
This 484-nucleotide ribosomal RNA is filed under the name uncultured bacterium. Its description in RNAcentral is "partial 16S ribosomal RNA". It matches the Rfam family "Bacterial small subunit ribosomal RNA", at positions 29 to 523 of the family's 1533-position model. The record is from RNAcentral.